AGAGUUUGAUUAUGGCUCAGGAUGAACGCUGGCGGCGUGCUUAACACAUGCAAGUCGAACGGGGUUAUUACGGAAGCUUGCUUUGUUUAACCUAGUGGCGGACGGGUGAGUAACGCGUGAGAAACCUGCCCUUCAGUGGGGAAUAACACCGAGAAAUUGGUGCUAAUACCGCAUAAUGUCGGAUCAUCGCAUGUUGAACCGACCAAAGGAUUUAUUCGCUGAAGGAUGGUCUCGCGUCCGAUUAGGCAGUUGGUGAGGUAACGGCUCACCAAACCAACGAUCGGUAGCCGAACUGAGAGGUUGAUCGGCCACAUUGGGACUGAGACACGGCCCAGACUCCUACGGGAGGCAGCAGUGGGGAAUAUUGGGCAAUGGGCGCAAAGCCUGACCCAGCAACGCCGCGUGAAGGAUGACGGUCUUAGGAUUGUAAACUUCUUUAAUCGGGGAAGAAUAAAUGACCUACCCGAAGAAUAAGCCACGGCUAACUACGUGCCAGCCGCAGC
This 503-nucleotide ribosomal RNA is filed under the name uncultured bacterium. Its description in RNAcentral is "bacterial SSU rRNA". It matches the Rfam family "Bacterial small subunit ribosomal RNA", at positions 8 to 518 of the family's 1533-position model. The record is from RNAcentral.